GAUGAACGCUGGCGGCGUGCUUAACACAUGCAAGUCGAACGGUGAAGGCGGAGCUUGCUCUGCUGGAUCAGUGGCGAACGGGUGAGUAACACGUGAGCAAUCUGCCCCUGACUCUGGGAUAAGCGCUGGAAACGGCGACUAAUACUGGAUACGAGCUGCGAAGGCAUCUUCAGCAGCUGGAAAGAAUUUCGGUCAGGGAUGAGCUCGCGGCCUAUCAGCUUGUUGGUGAGGUAAUGGCUCACCAAGGCGUCGACGGGUAGCCGGCCUGAGAGGGUGACCGGCCACACUGGGACUGAGACACGGCCCAGACUCCUACGGGAGGCAGCAGUGGGGAAUAUUGCACAAUGGGCGAAAGCCUGAUGCAGCAACGCCGCGUGAGGGACGACGGCCUUCGGGUUGUAAACCUCUUUUAGCAGGGAAGAAGCGAAAGUGACGGUACCUGCAGAAAAAGCGCCGGCUAACUACGUG
RNAcentral lists this ribosomal RNA (468 nucleotides) under uncultured bacterium. Its description in RNAcentral is "partial 16S ribosomal RNA". It matches the Rfam family "Bacterial small subunit ribosomal RNA", at positions 28 to 507 of the family's 1533-position model. The record is from RNAcentral.